UGGGGAAUAUUGGACAAUGGGGGCAACCCUGAUCCAGCAAUGCCGCGUGUGUGAAGAAGGCCUUCGGGUUGUAAAGCACUUUCAGCGGGGAAGAAAGAACCAAAAUUAAUACUUUUGGGUGUUGACGUUACCCGCAGAAGAAGCACUGGCUAACUCUGUGCCAGCAGCCGCGGUAAUACAGAGAGUGCAAGCGUUAAUCGGAAUUACUGGGCGUAAAGCGCACGUAGGUGGAUACUUAAGUCGGAUGUGAAAUCCCUGGGCUUAACCUAGGAAUUGCAUUCGAUACUGGGUAUCUGGAGUAUGGUAGAGGGAAGUGGAAUUUCCGGUGUAGCGGUGAAAUGCGUAGAUAUCGGAAAGAACACCAGUGGCGAAGGCGGCUUCCUGGACCAAUACUGACACUGAGGUGCGAAAGCGUGGGGAGCAAACAGG
RNAcentral lists this ribosomal RNA (429 nucleotides) under uncultured bacterium. Its description in RNAcentral is "bacterial SSU rRNA". It matches the Rfam family "Bacterial small subunit ribosomal RNA", at positions 355 to 776 of the family's 1533-position model. The record is from RNAcentral.